This 535-nucleotide unclassified non-coding RNA is filed under the name Hevea brasiliensis (rubber tree). The record is from RNAcentral. Lineage: Eukaryota; Viridiplantae; Streptophyta; Magnoliopsida; Malpighiales; Euphorbiaceae.
AAAAAAAUUGCUCUGCACUAGCAGAACACUACAUAAACCUAAUUACACAACCUCAUUUACAAUGGUGAGGCUACUCUGAUACAUAGCUUGUUGUCAUAUCACUUGGGCUAUCUAUAUAGGGAGAUGAACCUACAGACCUAUUCCUAUUUAUCAGACGCAUGGGUUUAAUAAGCUCAUCGAGAUCAUCCAGUUGCAUCUCUGCUGGACCACUCUCGCAAAGUGGCUUCUCCUCGCUUCUCUGAUCAAUAGUCUGUUCCUCUUCGUCACUACCAUCUAGGCUAAUAAAAUCGACAAACUUCCCUUCAAGGAAUAUGUCAUUAUUCCCCUUGACAGAAGGCUUCUCUGAUCCAGCUGUUAUGCACUCAGAAAUAUGAAUGUGCGGAGAGCCAAAGUAACGACCUCGACCAUUCUUUAACUCGCUCAAAGCUUUCCUUUUCGCUCCCUUCCUUCUGUUCUUCGGAUGGUGAAGCUUGCAGUUUGAACCUUUGGGACAGUUGCCAGUUGCUUCAAAAACGGGGCAGACAUAGGUGUGUUU